This 253-nucleotide ribosomal RNA is filed under the name uncultured bacterium. Its description in RNAcentral is "partial 16S ribosomal RNA". It matches the Rfam family "Bacterial small subunit ribosomal RNA", at positions 524 to 776 of the family's 1533-position model. The record is from RNAcentral.
UACGGGGGGGGCAAGCGUUGUUCGGAAUUACUGGGCGUAAAGGGCUCGUAGGCGGCCAACUAAGUCGGACGUGAAAUCCCCAGGCUCAACCUGGGAACUGCGUCCGAUACUGGAUGGCUUGAAUCCGGGAGAGGGAUGCAGAAUUCCAGGUGUAGCGGUGAAAUGCGUAGAUAUCUGGAGGAACACCGGUGGCGAAAGCGGCUCACUGGACCUGAUCUGACACUGAGGUGCGAAAGCUAGGGUAGCAAACGGG